Long non-coding RNA from Micropterus dolomieu (smallmouth bass), 204 nucleotides. RefSeq lists it as uncharacterized. The record is from RefSeq and is a predicted model, not a curated record. The transcript is spliced from 4 exons. NCBI's taxonomy places the organism in Eukaryota, Metazoa, Chordata, Actinopteri, Centrarchiformes, Centrarchidae.
AGAUUUAGGUUGGUCUAGCUUUGAGAAAACGUUGGAAGCUACAGUCAAAAUGAAGUUUGUUUUGAGGGUCGCUUUCCUUCUGCUUCUGGUUUCUGGCACAUUGGCAGUAGAAGAGCCCAAUCAUGAGGCAGCUGUGCACCGACCUAAGCGUUGGCGUGGAUUUAGCUUGUUCGAUAAGCUUCGCGGACCCAAACCUACUACUAC